This 461-nucleotide long non-coding RNA is filed under the name Capsicum annuum. RNAcentral describes it as "long non-coding RNA (CANN_LNC015500)". Lineage: Eukaryota; Viridiplantae; Streptophyta; Magnoliopsida; Solanales; Solanaceae. The record is from RNAcentral.
GGAGGUAUGGGGUUAUGUACUGAUUGAAGAAAAUUAAAUGUAUGGGGAAGAAAAAAAAAAUAAAGAAACAAAAUUAGUUGAGUUAGAUUAAAAAAAAAGAAGAGAAAAUUGAAAAUUAACAGCAAUACAUGGAAGCAAUGUAUUUUCUCGUUACAUCUUUUUUUCCAACAAAGAAAUAAAAGGAAAAAACACAGAAGCGGUUUCAAACUUCAAAGUUGUGAGGACAAUUUUUCCGGUCAUAUGAUCAGAGUGGUGAUAGCAGCGAUGAAGAAGGUGGUCGGACAAUUAGAUUAAGCUUAAUAUUUAAAAUUAAAUAUUAUUUAGUUUAUAAUUACGUUUUUAAUUAUUUUUUUGACUAAUUUUCCACGUGUUCGUUUUUAAUUGAUUGUUUUGCCACGUCAGCGCGAGUGUAUGAACAUAUAUGAUAUUGUAUAAAUAGUAUAUAAAUGUGAAUUAAUGCA